RNAcentral lists this ribosomal RNA (409 nucleotides) under Verrucomicrobiota bacterium. RNAcentral describes it as "Verrucomicrobia bacterium partial 16S ribosomal RNA". It matches the Rfam family "Bacterial small subunit ribosomal RNA", at positions 355 to 776 of the family's 1533-position model. The record is from RNAcentral. Lineage: Bacteria; Pseudomonadati; Verrucomicrobiota.
UGGGGAAUAUUGCACAAUGGGCGGAAGCCUGAUGCAGCGACGCCGCGUGAGGGAUGACGGCCUUCGGGCUGUAAACCUCUUUCAGUAGGGACGAAGCGUAAGUGACGGUACCUGCAGAAGAAGCACCGGCUAACUACGUGCCAGCAGCCGCGGUAAUACGUAGGGUGCGAGCGUUGUCCGGAAUUACUGGGCGUAAAGAGCUCGUAGGCGGUUUGUCACGUCGUCUGUGAAAUCCUAGGGCUUAACCCUGGACGUGCAGGCGAUACGGGCUGACUUGAGUACUACAGGGGAGACUGGAAUUUCUGGUGUAGCGGUGGAAUGCACAGAUAUCAGGAAGAACACCGAUGGCGAAGGCAGGUCUCUGGGUAGUAACUGACGCUGAGGAGCGAAAGCAUGGGUAGCGAACAGG